UACGAAGGGUGCUAGCGUUGUUCGGAAUCACUGGGCGUAAAGCGUGCGUAGGCGGCUUUGCAAGCCAGAGGUGAAAGCCUGGAGCUUAACUCCAGAACUGCCUUUGGAACUGCAUGGCUGGAGUGUCGGAGGGGAUGGGGGAAUUCCUAAUGUAGCGGUGAAAUGCGUAGAUAUUAGGAGGAACACCGGUGGCGAAGGCGCCUAUCUGGACGACAACUGACGCUGAGGCACGAAAGCGUGGGGAUCAAACAGG
Molecule: ribosomal RNA, 253 nt
Filed under: uncultured bacterium
Lineage: Bacteria
Description: partial 16S ribosomal RNA
Rfam family: Bacterial small subunit ribosomal RNA
Source: RNAcentral